GUGGCCGUGGCCGAGUGGUUAGGCGGCGGUCUGUGGAACCGUCCACGAGGAUUCAAUUUCCUCCGGCCACCCCA
This 74-nucleotide transfer RNA is filed under the name Terriglobia bacterium. RNAcentral describes it as "tRNA-His". It matches the Rfam family "tRNA". Rfam says of the family: Transfer RNA (tRNA) molecules are approximately 80 nucleotides in length. Lineage: Bacteria; Pseudomonadati; Acidobacteriota; Terriglobia. The record is from RNAcentral.